GAUGAACGCUGGCGGCGUGCCUAAUACAUGCAAGUCGAGCGAACAGACGAGGAGCUUGCUCCUCUGACGUUAGCGGCGGACGGGUGAGUAACACGUGGAUAACCUACCUAUAAGACUGGGAUAACUUCGGGAAACCGGAGCUAAUACCGGAUAAUAUAUUGAACCGCAUGGUUCAAUAGUGAAAGACGGUUUUGCUGUCACUUAUAGAUGGAUCCGCGCCGCAUUAGCUAGUUGGUAAGGUAACGGCUUACCAAGGCAACGAUGCGUAGCCGACCUGAGAGGGUGAUCGGCCACACUGGAACUGAGACACGGUCCAGACUCCUACGGGAGGCAGCAGUAGGGAAUCUUCCGAAAUGGGCGAAAGCCUGACGGAGCAACGCCGCGUGAGUGAUGAAGGUCUUCGGAUCGUAAAACUCUGUUAUUAGGGAAGAACAAAUGUGUAAGUAACUAUGCACGUCUUGACGGUACCUAAUCAGAAAGCCACGGCUAACUACGUG
Molecule: ribosomal RNA, 497 nt
Filed under: uncultured bacterium
Lineage: Bacteria
Description: partial 16S ribosomal RNA
Rfam family: Bacterial small subunit ribosomal RNA
Source: RNAcentral